Molecule: non-coding RNA, 1605 nt
Organism: Chelonoidis abingdonii (Abingdon island giant tortoise)
Lineage: Eukaryota; Metazoa; Chordata; Testudines; Testudinidae
Source: RefSeq, a predicted model, not a curated record
UUAAAAUAAAUGGUAUUGUUUAACAGCGUGAUUAAUCAUGAUUAAUUUUUUUAAUCGCUUGACAGCCCUAAUUUGAAAUAGGAGAGAGUGAAAAAAUGAGGCUGUGCAGUAAAGAAUCCAAGUGCAAGAUAACUACAUACUGUACAUGUGGCACCACAAUUCAAACUUUUACUACCGGCCCGAUCCAAAGGCCAUAGAAGUCAGGAAGAAUUUUUCCAGUGACUUCAACUCACUAUCGGCUUCAUUCUAAGACUAGUGAAGGAGCAGUUCCAGGAAUUUAGCCACUAGAGGGAAGGUUUUGUACAUGAAUGGGACCAUCGUAUUGCUAAUAUUAAUCGGUGGCACAACAGGCUCUAGAGGCACAGAUGAAUCCAAAAUACCCCUACUUGGAAGCACUUUUCAAAUAUUCAAACUGAAUUAUGGUCUUUGUUCUCCUGCCCUCUCUCUCAACAUAAAUGUAUUGUGAGAUACUGUUGUGUAAUGACAUUUAGUUUAAUUCAUGGGUGUGCAACAUAACAGAUAGUUCUAGUUAUCAAUUAGUCACUCAAGUCUGUUUCAUCCCAUGGAGAUUUCAAAUCAUGAAGACCCAAUGCAAUGCACAUUGAAGCCAAUGGCUGUCUUUUACUGAUUUAAAUGGUGUCUAAUCAGACCCUGAUCUAUAAGAAUUUUUAGUCAAAACGAAGGGGUUAUGUCAGAAUCUCUUAAUUGUUUAUUAAGCAGCAAAAGUUCUUUGGUUUCUUCACAGGUUUGGCACACAUUCUCACUAUUUAAGAGUAUAAAUGGGUGUUAGCUGAGCAGUAGCAUUAUGUAUGGCUAUGUGGGAAAAUUAAGUUCUGUUUCUGUUCUUGCAUGGUCUCACACAACUUUGAAGCCUUUUCUACUAGAGAAUUGCUUGGUUGCAACUUGGCCUAGUAUGAUUGAGUGUUCACAUUAGGUUUCCUGCUUCAGGUGCACAUAGUAUACUAUAUCUGCACAGAACACUCUCUGCAAAUGUUGUGGGACCUGUGCAUUGUUUCACCAAACCUGCAGUUCCAGGUAUAGUACCCUAGAUCAGAUGCAUAAUGUCUGAUAUUUAAGGCCUGGUUCACUGUUUUGUAGUCAUUUACGCCAGAGCAAAAUGAGUUUAAGCAGUUAUGAAAUCAAAGGGUAGUAUUUUACACUUACUUUACACUGGGUAAAUAACUAAGUAAGGUGCUGGGAAAUGGAGAAUCAGAGCCAUGACGUCUAGAUCCACUACUUCAUAUUUUUUGUUCGUACUAUUGCCUAUUUCAGAUGGCUCUGUCCUGCUGCAAGCCCAAGGAUUGAGUUGGGAAUUGACCAAAGUUCACAGGGAGCACAUCCUUCCAUGAUGACCAAUCUGUGCUCUUCCUGCUAAGGCAGUGGAAUUCUCAGGCCAUGCAGCUAUUUUUUUUUGGUGGGGAUGGAAAGAUGAAGAAUGAGCGCUGGUGUAGCUUGGAGAGGUAAAUGGAUUUACUAGGGGGGUGGUAAAGAAGGUGGAAUAGCUUUGCUGUUAGCCUUUAACUACUAGCCCUCUGUCCUUAUGCUCUUUUUUUCAGAUCUCCAGGGUGGGAGCAGAAUGGCUGGUGCAGCAAAGCCUCAGUAAAG